AUCGCUUCUCGGCCUUUGGCUAAGAUCAAAAAAUGUAGUAUCUGUUCUUAUCAGUUUAAUAUCUGAUACGUCCCCUACCCGGGGACCAUAUAUUAAAUUGAUUUUUGAACUGGGAGAUGGAAAAGGAGCUUGCCCAUUGUCCACUCCACAAAACCUGGUAUUGCAGUACCUCUCAGGACCGGUGCACCCCUC
Molecule: small nuclear RNA, 192 nt
Gene: U2
Rfam family: U2 spliceosomal RNA
About the family: U2 is a small nuclear RNA (snRNA) component of the spliceosome (involved in pre-mRNA splicing). Complementary binding between U2 snRNA (in an area lying towards the 5' end but 3' to hairpin I) and the branchpoint sequence (BPS) of the intron results the bulging out of an unpaired adenosine, on the BPS, which initiates a nucleophilic attack at the intronic 5' splice site, thus starting the first of two transesterification reactions that mediate splicing.
Source: Ensembl